RNAcentral lists this unclassified non-coding RNA (18 nucleotides) under Mus musculus (house mouse). RNAcentral describes it as "oocyte_clustered_small_RNA5333". Lineage: Eukaryota; Metazoa; Chordata; Mammalia; Rodentia; Muridae. The record is from RNAcentral.
AAGGUUUUAGAUUCUUAG